Ataeniobius toweri is the source of this 83-nucleotide non-coding RNA. The record is from the annotation of a GenBank genome assembly. NCBI's taxonomy places the organism in Eukaryota, Metazoa, Chordata, Actinopteri, Cyprinodontiformes, Goodeidae.
UGCACGGUGGCGCAGUUGGUAGCACUGUUGGCUUACAGCAAGAAGGUCCUGAGUUUGACUCCCAGCCGGGGGUCUUUCUGCAA